GGUAAUAUACUUUUACAAAGAAACUAAAUACAAUGUAUUUUUGUAGAUAACUAAAUUACAUCAAGUCUUGUCAUGAAUCAAACAUCAAUCACUUGCUUGGUAGCUUCAUCACUAUAGUAAAUCAAUCGAAUACUAGUGCAAAAUCUUGGUAAUCUGAAAUGUGUAGAUGUUCCACUUCUACACCAUCAGUGUCCUCCAUUUCAUCUUCUUCACCGUCAGAAUCAACAUCUCCUUCAAGUCCAUUUUCAAUAAACUACAUAUUGUACCAAUAUAACCAUGUGGUCAAAAUCAUUCUAAAUCUCCA
RNAcentral lists this long non-coding RNA (304 nucleotides) under Cucumis sativus (cucumber). RNAcentral's name for it is "long non-coding RNA (CSAT_LNC000143)". Lineage: Eukaryota; Viridiplantae; Streptophyta; Magnoliopsida; Cucurbitales; Cucurbitaceae. The record is from RNAcentral.